GAACCUCGGAGAAAAAAUUCUUUGUGAACAAUAUGACAACGAGGAAACCAUGAACUUGGCAAUAGAAGGGGGAAAACAAGCAGUCUUUCAAAUCUAAGAUGCAGGUGCCGACGAUGCCAGAGCAGGGGAGUCUACCGAACUCAAGUCGGAGUUCGACAAGGAUUCUGGCCGUUGCUAUGUUUCUUUUCCGGAUGAUCAAUAGAGGAGCCCAGUUGGGGCGAUCAUGGAUCUAGCAUUUGGGGUUGUCUUCCUUUAUUUUGGUUCUGUAGUCGGACCUUUGAUUGUACUUUGGAUGAUGUAUGAUAUAUUUAUGUAUUGUGUGAAGUGGUGAUUGUAAGCCAA
This is a long non-coding RNA of Triticum aestivum (bread wheat), 342 nucleotides long. RefSeq lists it as uncharacterized. The transcript has 2 exons. The record is from RefSeq and is a predicted model, not a curated record. Lineage: Eukaryota; Viridiplantae; Streptophyta; Magnoliopsida; Poales; Poaceae.